Molecule: non-coding RNA, 545 nt
Organism: Delphinapterus leucas (beluga whale)
Lineage: Eukaryota; Metazoa; Chordata; Mammalia; Artiodactyla; Monodontidae
Source: RefSeq, a predicted model, not a curated record
GACGUUGUGGGGGCGGUCGACGUGGUGAUGAGAACGUUGACUACUCCAUUAGGACGUGACAAGCGCCAUGGGAGGAUGAAACAGGGAAGCGGCUCAGGCCCUUCAGCUGGGCAGCCCGGAACUCGGCCGGCCGCGUGCACCCCGAGUCGAAGGCCUCCCGCAGCCGCUGCAGCGUGUCCGCGAAGGGGUCCAUCCUGCCGGGCGGGGCAGCGUGGGUCGGGGCGCUCCACCUCCAGGCGCCCCCCACCGCCCCUGCCUGCACCCGCAUGGGCCCACGGGCACCCCCAUGGGGACUCACACGCGAGCAGAGAAGCUCCGAGAAGACAAAGCUAGUCCCUGUGCGUGGCCGUGAGUGGCGAGGCUUUCCAGGACUGACGGCAACCCAGAGUGCCCAAGCCAACCUGCCAGCGGGUCCCUGGCCCUGACUGCUCGCUGCUAUAUCCCCUGCCUCUGCAGAACACCGUACCUGAGGCCCUGUGAAGCUGCCCUUCCUCCUGGUUGGCCCUGCUCUACCCAGCUGCCCUUCCGUUAUAAAAUGUCCAAGG